GCCUACGGGAGGCAGCAGUGGGGAAUCUUGCGCAAUGGGCGAAAGCCUGACGCAGCAACGCCGCGUGCGGGAUGACGGCCUUCGUGGUUGUAAACCGCUUUCAGCAGGGACGAAAAUGACGGUACCUGCAGAAGAAGCCCCGGCUAACUACGUGC
RNAcentral lists this ribosomal RNA (155 nucleotides) under uncultured bacterium. RNAcentral's name for it is "partial 16S ribosomal RNA". It matches the Rfam family "Bacterial small subunit ribosomal RNA", at positions 337 to 508 of the family's 1533-position model. The record is from RNAcentral.